GUGUUCAGAGAAAGGAGAGAUAAUUUCUACUCCUUCUUAGGGCAAAGAGGGAACUGGCUUCUGAAUCUGAUAUGUUUCCAAGGCUAAGGGAUUUAUUUUUUCCCUACCAGGCACAGAAAGUCUUUUUU
Small nuclear RNA from Poecile atricapillus (Black-capped chickadee), 128 nucleotides. The record is from RefSeq and is a predicted model, not a curated record. Lineage: Eukaryota; Metazoa; Chordata; Aves; Passeriformes; Paridae.